This 23-nucleotide ribosomal RNA is filed under the name Drosophyllum lusitanicum. RNAcentral describes it as "4.5S ribosomal RNA". The record is from RNAcentral. Lineage: Eukaryota; Viridiplantae; Streptophyta; Magnoliopsida; Caryophyllales; Drosophyllaceae.
GAAGGUCACGGCGAGACGAGCCG